GCAGAGCGCUCGCAUGGGAAGUGUAGGUGGCUGAUCAACACAGAAGCCACCCAUCAUCCGAACUUUAGUUGUUAAUCGCUUGCCAUAAAUAAUCGCGGCUGUGCACGUACGAGUAUGUUUGUCCCUCGAAGAUCAUCAAAAAAAUUCCAAAUCAAUAGGAAUGGAAAUUCUUUUAAUUUUUGAGACUUGCGCCGGCAGAGGUCUUACAAUGCACAUUGCACCAACAACAUCAUCAUCUGAAUCUUAUGUGCACAACAAAAUAUGAAGAGUGACAAGUGUUUGCGACAAAGGUUACUACGAGCGGCGAAGAUAAAACAAUCAGAAAAUUAUGACACAAGUGGUGGAAUACAUAUCAUCAGGUACUAUUCCACUUAGCCGUAAAAUCCAUAUAAAUAUAUGUAUAAACGUGUAUUUAGAGAUGCAUACUCAUUAAAACAACCGAAAUCUAAAGAAUGUAGAAUAGGUGAGAGAAACAGAUUGCAAAUGAUAAGCCACCAACAGACCAUGCUGCAACAGCCAGACAAAACAUAAAUAGAAUGCACAACGCUAGUCCGAACAGUUACAAGUCAAGACAUUGUAAGUUAACUUGCGCAAGAAGAGAGAGCACAUUGCAGGACACCGCAAAAGACGAAUGCCGGCUACUCAUGUCAAAUGUAUCUGAGGCUGAAAUGACAUGAGAAGUUUCAUAAAUACCAAAUCAAAGCAGGAUGGCUCAAUAAAUAAAAGAAAGUUUCACCGAUUCUUAAAACCACGUUAUUAGUUAUAUGUGCACAUAUAUCUUUUACUUUACGACAUUUUUUAAGUACUUGUCAUUGAGAUCAAAAGACGGUCAGCAACUCUUUAUUGCCUUGUUAGAAGAUCAAAGGUUUAAUGAGCAAUUUUGGGUGUUCUUAACAUAAUACAGUAAAUGGAUGAAGGUUGUAUACCGGAUGUUUGUCUUGAUUAUGUCUAUGUAACAGUUUCGUGGUCAUCAUAAACGAGCACGCGCGAACUGUAUUCAAAUAUGAGAGCUUGAAUAAUUAUACUUUCUAAAUCGGCAACGAAGUUUUUCCCCAUUAAAAAUUGUAUACAUGAAUUUUUUCUAUAAGAAUUAAGUAUUUUCUUAUAUCAAUGCUAAUCUAGAGGAAGAAAGUUGUAAUCAUUAUAAAUGUCGGCGAUUAAAUGGAGCCAAGGAGGUUUUAACCACACUUUGAAGUUUAUGUUAUGUAAUUUCGUUGAUAUUUCACUUCGGAAUAGAAACAUUAGACCCUACGAUAUUUAAAACGAUAAAGAGGUCGUGAACAUCAGAACAUCACUCUCAUUUCUUCACUUUAAUUUAACGUUUCUUCUCUCCUUUCACUCUUCACUUCAUUUUUGACUUUGCUUUGUAAAUAUUUUGCAUAUGUCACCGGGAGUUCGCAAACACCAAAGUUUUGCGCGCGGGCAUUGGCUUGGAGUUGCCUGGUUGACUGCUCGGAUAGCGGAUGCGAACGCGUACGCUCAUGUCAUGAAAUCAUCAUGCUCAUCAUACAUACAUAUGCAUGUAUCCUUAUAUAUUGGAUUGCGUACAUCUGUGCAGAUACUUUUAUAUAAUCAGGCUUUAUCAAAAGGACUCACAAAGGAUGACUUUGUUGAAAAACAAAUUGAAAAAUAAAAAGAUAAAAACAAAAAUAA
This is a long non-coding RNA of Zeugodacus cucurbitae (melon fly), 1653 nucleotides long. RefSeq lists it as uncharacterized. Lineage: Eukaryota; Metazoa; Arthropoda; Insecta; Diptera; Tephritidae. The transcript is spliced from 3 exons. The record is from RefSeq and is a predicted model, not a curated record.